CGUUAUUAACGUGAGCAGUUCAUAUAUCGUGCCUUGUUAUAAUUGCACUGAAUAUAGAUUUCAUUUCAUAGGGCAAUGCAACGUGCGUGGGAGGAUCAAUGCAGUGGGCAUUGACGUUUCAAUGUCAGCUACCUCUUGAAUGCAACAUUUUUGGGGGAUGAUAGGAAAAUGAAAAUACGAGAUGAGGAAGACGUUCCGGACCCGCCCAACGAUACCACACACACA
This is a long non-coding RNA of Venturia canescens, 225 nucleotides long. RefSeq lists it as uncharacterized. Lineage: Eukaryota; Metazoa; Arthropoda; Insecta; Hymenoptera; Ichneumonidae. The record is from RefSeq and is a predicted model, not a curated record. The transcript is spliced from 3 exons.